CACGUCAUUUUUACAAAGCCUGGGCAAUCAGUUAUCUACUAGCCCAACCCAAAACCGUUAUCCUAUUAUCCGUACAGCUCAAGCUCAAGCUCAAGCUCAAAGAGAAGAAAAGGCGCCCCCCUCCCCCUUUUCUCAGCUACUCUUCCCUGCGCAUUAGCAACCAAGAAAACUUGAGGUGGGGUUUGGCUGUUUAUGCAUUUACUCAGUUGGUAAUCGAUUUUGCACUCUUUGAUGCUUUACUUUCUUCGGUUAAUCUCGUGAUGCAUUCCUGGAAUUACAUAGAGAAUCUUUCGUCAGUUUUUGGUUGAACUAUGAACCGCAUGUUAGACCCUAAACAAACCAAAGAAAGAUGUCGUCUUUGAGUGUGUGGGUAGGGAAUGAGGGUUUUAGUUGUCUCACGAGCACAACUUGGAUUGCUUUAUUGCUUUUUUGAGAAGCUGAAAAAUGUGGGGUUACAUUCAUGUUCUUAAUGAGCACUUCAAUGGUCUUAUGCCACAACUUCAUCUUCGCUAACCGGAAAGUGCGUCGGGGAUUGUGUUCUUUCCACGAUUCAUCUAAUUCUGUGGCUCAAUUGGGUUGUAAGCGCAGGUGGGUUAGUGGGUUUAUUCCGAAUGCUAAGAAGAAUAGCCGCAAUUCGAGGAAAAGGAGUUGGUGGCAGAAGUUCUUUUUCGAUGAUGAAGGGAAUUGGCUUGGUUUGAAGGAUGAUGACAUGCUUGAGGACCAAUCGGAGGGCUUGAGUGAUGAAGAGUUGUCUGAAGGAGACAAGUUUGAGGCGUGGAAGAGGAGGGCUGAGGCGAUCAUAGAGUUGAGGGAAGCACAGGAGGAUAUGGUGAAUGAGGAGAGUCGGAGGUGGGAGGAUUGGCUUGUGGAUGGGACAAACCAUGUUAAUGGUCCUUCCUGGAGUCAAGAUUGGGACAAUGGAGCAGGGGAGUCGAGGGAAGAUGUGGCAGAUCCCACUGAGAUGGUUCCUGAGAGGGGUUGGGCUGAGUCUGUGAGGGAUUUGGUCCUUGGUCAGGAAGAUGAUGAUAUGCUCUAUGAAGACCGAGUAUUUCGGUAUGCCUCACUGAAUUCGGCUAAAUUUUUGGCUGUAUUGAUAAUUAUACCCUGGGCCUUGGAUUUUGUGGUGCAUGACUAUGUUCUCAUGCCUUUUUUGGACAGAUAUGUAAAGACGGUUCCACUUGCGGCACAGAUGCUAGAUGUGAGAAGAAAUCAAAAGCUUGAAAUGGUAAAAGAAUUAAAAAUUGAGAGAGCAAGAUUCAAGCUUGAGGUAGACAUUGGUAAAUCUCCACCUCUUUCUGAUGAAGAAGUUUGGUGGGAGUUACGGCAUAAAGCAUUAGAGUUGAGAGAUGAGUGGAGGUUAGAGAACCGUAGAGCAUUUGCCAACAUAUGGUCAGAUGUGGUAUUUGGGAUCUCAUUAUUCAUUCUUUUAUACUUCAAUCAGGCUAAAGUAGCUUUGCUGAAGUUCACGGGUUACAAAAUAAUAAAUAACAUUUCAGAUACUGGGAAGGCAUUCUUAAUUAUACUUAUCACAGAUAUUUUUUUAGGGUAUCACUCUGAAUCUGGAUGGCAGACUUUGUUAGAGAUAAUUGUUGAGCAUUAUGGGCUCGAGGUUGAUCAGGCUACUGUAACCAUAUUUAUCUGCCUAGUUCCAGUUAUCAUUGAUGCGUGUGUGAAACUCUGGUUGUUCAAAUUCCUUCCAAGGUUAUCCCCUAAGGUGGCAAACAUUUUCCGCGAAAUGAAGCGUCACUAGUGAAAUUUUUAAUUAGGGUUUCCUCUGGCCAUUUGAAGAAAUUCUGAAGGAAGGUGGUGACCACACUCCACAGGGUUUUGGUUCCUAAAGCCAGCUGGUAUAUUUCUUGUUUGUUUGUAGCCAUUUAAUGUUGGGGGGUGUGUUUGAUAUUUUUUUUUCUAGUUUGGUUUGCUUAGAGACUAAGGAUUAAAUUUAAGGUCCCCCACGGCACCACAACAAUUUGACUGCAACAAUUUUGUUUCUUAACAACCACGCUAGCUAAACAACAAAACGCCGAUCAAGCUGUAAUAAAAGCGACUUCAAUGCCACGCGGAUUGCAGAAGAAUGAAUUAUUUAUUUUAUUUUAUUUUGUAAGUGAAGAAUGAAUUAUUAAUUAGUCAAUGAAUGGUGUGUGACCGCCAUAUUGAUAUGGAGAAAA
RNA transcript from Alnus glutinosa, 2168 nucleotides. It is a transcript of the gene named chloroplast envelope membrane protein, with no coding region annotated. Lineage: Eukaryota; Viridiplantae; Streptophyta; Magnoliopsida; Fagales; Betulaceae. The record is from RefSeq and is a predicted model, not a curated record. The transcript is spliced from 8 exons.